This 499-nucleotide ribosomal RNA is filed under the name uncultured bacterium. RNAcentral describes it as "bacterial SSU rRNA". It matches the Rfam family "Bacterial small subunit ribosomal RNA", at positions 899 to 1397 of the family's 1533-position model. The record is from RNAcentral.
ACUCAAAUGAAUUGACGGGGACCCGCACAAGCAGCGGAGCAUGUGGUUUAAUUCGAAGCAACGCGAAGAACCUUACCAAGACUUGACAUCGAGUGCCGUCUGCGGAAACGUAGAUUUCCCAGCAAUGGGACACAAAGACAGGUGGUGCAUGGUUGUCGUCAGCUCGUGUCGUGAGAUGUUCGGUUAAGUCCGGCAACGAGCGCAACCCUUACGAUAUGUUGCUAACAUUCAGUUGAGAACUCAUAUCGGACUGCCGUGGUUAACACGGAGGAAGGUGGGGAUGAUGUCAAAUCAUCAUGCCCCUUACGUCUUGGGCUACACACGUGCUACAAUGGGCGCUACAAAGAGCAGCGAGGCCGCAAGGUUCAGCGAAUCUCAAAAAAGCGUUCUCAGUUCGGAUUGAGGGCUGCAACCCGCCCUCAUGAAGCAGGAGUUGCUAGUAAUCCCGAAUCAGCAUGUCGGGGUGAAUGCGUUCCCGGGUCUUGCACACACCGCCCGU